This 418-nucleotide RNase P RNA is filed under the name Planctomycetia bacterium. RNAcentral describes it as "RNase P RNA component class A". It matches the Rfam family "Bacterial RNase P class A". From Rfam's summary of the family: Ribonuclease P (RNase P) is a ubiquitous endoribonuclease, found in archaea, bacteria and eukarya as well as chloroplasts and mitochondria. Its best characterised activity is the generation of mature 5'-ends of tRNAs by cleaving the 5'-leader elements of precursor-tRNAs. Cellular RNase Ps are ribonucleoproteins. Lineage: Bacteria; Pseudomonadati; Planctomycetota; Planctomycetia. The record is from RNAcentral.
GAAGAGGAACGGGUAGUCGCUGGGGAAAUCUUCGGAUUUUCCCAGAGGAAAGUCCGGACACCAAAGAACAGGGUGAUGGAUAACGUCCACCGACCGUGAGGUUAGGGAAAGUGCAACAGAAAGUAUACCGCCGUAAAGCCUCCUUUUUUAGGGGUGCCUUGCGGUAAGGGUGAAAUGGUGAGGUAAGAGCUUACCAGCAUCGUGAGUGAUCCGAUGGCUCGGCAAACCCCACCCGGUGCAAUGUCAAAUAAGGCAGGAAUGGUGGUGGCUGUUUUUUAUUUUGCAGCUACGCCUCCGUAUUGGUUCGAUGCGGGGACUGCCGGGUAGACAGCUUGAGGGUCGCAGUAAUGCGCCUCCCAGAUAAAUGACUAUCCUUCGGCAACGAAGACAGAAUCCGGCUUACAGUUCCUCUUUCUUU